AACCUCCGCAAUGUGAGAAAUCGCGACGGGGGGAUCCCAAGUGCCAUUCUUAACGGGAUGGCUUUUCAUUAGUGUAAAGAGCUUUUGGAAUAAGAGCUGGGCAAGACCGGUGCCAGCCGCCGCGGUAACACCGGCAGCUCUAGUGGUAACAAUUUUUAUUGGGCCUAAAGCGUCCGUAGCCGGUUUAAUAAGUCUCUGGUGAAAUCCUGUAGCUUAACUGUGGGAAUUGCUGGAGAUACUAUUAGACUUGAGACCGGGAGAGGUUAGAGGUACUCCCAGGGUAGAGGUGAAAUUCUGUAAUCCUGGGAGGACCGCCUGUUGCGAAGGCGUCUAACUGGAACGGUUCUGACGGUGAGGGACGAAAGUUAGGGCGCGAACCGGAUUAGAUACCCGGGUAGUCCUAACUGUAAACGAUGCGGACUUGGUGUUGGGGUGGCUUUGAGCUGCUCCAGUGCCGAAGGAAGCUGUUAAGUCCGCCGCCUGGGAAGUACGGUCGCAAGACUGAAACUUAAAGGAAUU
RNAcentral lists this ribosomal RNA (519 nucleotides) under uncultured bacterium. RNAcentral describes it as "bacterial SSU rRNA". It matches the Rfam family "Archaeal small subunit ribosomal RNA", at positions 345 to 866 of the family's 1478-position model. The record is from RNAcentral.